Molecule: unclassified non-coding RNA, 377 nt
Filed under: uncultured Bacillaceae bacterium
Lineage: Bacteria; Bacillati; Bacillota; Bacilli; Caryophanales; Bacillaceae
Description: contains 16S-23S intergenic spacer region
Source: RNAcentral
UCCGGUUUGUCACCGGCAGUCACCUUAGAGUGCCCAACUGAAUGCUGGCAACUAAGAUCAAGGGUUGCGCUCGUUGCGGGACUUAACCCAACAUCUCACGACACGAGCUGACGACAACCAUGCACCACCUGUCACUCUGUCCCCGAAGGGAAUGCUCUAUCUCUAGAGGUGUCAGAGGAUGUCAAGACCUGGUAAGGUUCUUCGCGUUGCUUCGAAUUAAACCACAUGCUCCACCGCUUGUGCGGGCCCCCGUCAAUUCUUUUGAGUUUCAGCCUUGCGGCCGUACUCCCCAGGCGGAGUGCUUAAUGUGUUGACGUCGGCACAGCAGGGGUCGAUACCCGCUACACCAAGCACUCAUCGUUUACGGCGUGGACUAC